CUUUAGGGUUUUCUACCUGUAAAAUUAUGUAAUCUCCAAACAGAGCUCAUUUUACUUCUUCCUUCUUGGGUAGUUGCCAGGGGCUGGGGGGAGGAAGAAAGAGAGGGUUGUUUAAUGGGAUAAAGUUUUAGAUGAAUGUGUUCUAGAGAUACACUAUACAGCAUAGUGCCUAUAGUUAACAACAUUACAUUAUGAACUUAAAAAUUUGUUAAGAAAGACCAAUGACACAGAAGAAAGAACCCAGAAAUAAAUUCAUUUAUUUACAGUCAGUUGAUCAUUGACAGAGUUACCAAGAACACACAAUGGGGAAAGGACAGUCUCUUCAAUAAAUGCUGAGAAAACUGGAUAUCCACAUGCAGAAGAAUGUAAUUAGACCCUUAAUUCAUACCACAUACAAAAAUCAACUGAAAGUGGAUUAAAGACUUAAACAUUAGAUCUGAAACUGUAAAACUACUAGAAGAAAACAUAGAGAAAAAGCUUCUUGACAUUGAUCUAGGCAAUAAUUUUUUGGAUAUGACCCCAAAAGCACAAGCAACAAAGCAAAAAUAGACAAAUGGGAUUGAAUCAAGUUAAAAAGCCUCUCCAUAGCAAAGGAAACAAUAAACAGAGUAAAGAGACAACCUAUGGAGUAGGAGAAAGAACUUGCAAACCAUAUUCCUGAUAAAGAGCUAAUGUCCAAAGUACAUAAGGAACUCAAACCACUCAAUUGCAAGGCAACAAACAACCUGAUUUAAAAAUGUGCAAAAUACCUGAAAAGAUAUUUCUCAAAAGGAAACAUAUAAUGGCCAACACAUAUAUGAAUCACUCUUAUUCACUCAACAUCACUGAUUAUCAGGGAAUUGCAAAUUAAAAUCACAAUAAGAUAUCUUUUCACACCUGUUAGAAAGCUAUUAUCAAAAAGACAAAGGAUAACAAGCGUUGGCGAGGAUGUGGAGAAAAGGGAAUGCUUGUACAUUUGUGGGUAAAUUGGCACAGCUAUUAUGGAGAACAGUAUGGAAGUUCCUCAAAAAAUUAAAAAUAGAGCCACCAUAUUAUCUAGGGAUCCCACUUAUAGGAAUACAUCCAAAAGAAAUGAAAUUAGUAUGUUGAAGAGAUAUUUGCACUCCCAAGUUCAUUGCAGUAUUAUUCACAAUAGCUAUGAUAUGGAAUGAACCCAAGUGUCCACUGAUGGAUGAAUGAAUAAAGAAGAUGUGGUAUAAAUAUACAAUGGAAUACAAUUUGGCCUUAUGAAAAGAAAAUCCUGCCAUUUGUGACAACAUGGAUAAAAUUGGAAUACAUUAUGCUAAGCGAAAUAAGCCAGGCACAGAAAGACAAACACUGAAAGAUCUCACUUACAUGUGGAGUCUAAGAAAGCCAAACUCAUAGAAGCAGAAAGUAGAAUGGUGGUUGCUAGGGUUAAGGCAGAGGAGGGAGAAUGAGAACAUGUUGGAUAAAGGGGGUGUGAACUUUCAGUUAAAUGGAUAAAUAAGUUCUAAAGAACUAUUGUACAGCAUGGUGACUAUAGUUAAUAAUAAUAUAUUACAUACUUGAAAAUUGCUAAGAGAGUGGAUCUUAUGACCAAAACAUAUGUGAGGCAAUAGAUAUGUUAAUUAGCUUGAAUCAAUCAUUUCACAAGAUCUAUCUAUCUAUCUAUCUAUCUAUCUAUCUAUCUAUCUAUCUAUCUAUAUGUCAAAACAUCACAUUAUAUACUGUAAAAUAUAUAAAAUUUUUAUUUGUCAAUUAUACCUUAAUAAAACUGGGAGAAAUUGUUAAGAGGAUAAAUCACAUGUUAAGUGUUCUCACAGCAACAAAAAGCAGAGCAAAACAAAAUGAAACAACAAACAAGAAGCACAAGACAACUUUUGGAGGUGAUGAACAUGUGUAUUACUUUGCGGUGAUGAUUUCACGGGUGUAUGCCUAUGUCCAAACUGAUCGAAUUGUAUCUAUUAAACGUGCAGCUUUUUGUAUAUCAAUUAUACCUCAAUAAAGC
This 1969-nucleotide long non-coding RNA is filed under the name Homo sapiens (human). Its description in RNAcentral is "HSALNT0326007". Lineage: Eukaryota; Metazoa; Chordata; Mammalia; Primates; Hominidae. The record is from RNAcentral.